Myotis brandtii (Brandt's bat) is the source of this 528-nucleotide long non-coding RNA. RefSeq lists it as uncharacterized. The transcript is spliced from 2 exons. The record is from RefSeq and is a predicted model, not a curated record. Lineage: Eukaryota; Metazoa; Chordata; Mammalia; Chiroptera; Vespertilionidae.
CCGGCCUCUGAUCCCAGGAGGAGGGUGGUGAGCUGCCCAGAAACCCAGGCAAAGGCUGUUCCCAGCCAUUGGGUGUGGCCAUCAAGCCAGACUUCGUCACCAGCUCUGGGCAUGGCUGCCCCCAACUCAUGGGCCUCCAGACACCCCGGCUGCAGUCCCUGUGGCCAGAAGGCAGAUGCCUCCCCUCCAAGAACCCAUGAGGCAAGGUGACCAGUCGGCCCAGGUGACCAGGGUGGGGCCCACUGAGCACUGCUCUGCCCAGUAGGACCAGCUUCUUUAUGAUGGACUCCACUUCUAAGACGGGGCCGUCUCUGGUGCAGUUAUUAAACGACUGAGACUACAUGGGACACGAAAACUAAACUGACCUGUUGGUGGGAAAGGUUUGGGAGAGGAUGGGUACACGGAGGCUCUGGGAAGCUCUGGUUCUUAACCCUGGUGGUGGUGGGUUUAAGAGUGUUCGCCUUAUACGUUUUUGUAUGGUUCCUCUUGUCAGUUGUCUUAAAAUAAAACUCAUCUGCCUAAAAAAAA